Maylandia zebra (zebra mbuna) is the source of this 350-nucleotide non-coding RNA. The record is from RefSeq and is a predicted model, not a curated record. Lineage: Eukaryota; Metazoa; Chordata; Actinopteri; Cichliformes; Cichlidae.
AUUAAAAUAUUUACACUGAUGAUUAAUGUUGUGUCUUUGCACCUGUAGCGAUACAUGUUGGAAAAUGGAGACUUUAGCCACCAAGACUGACGUGCCUGGAAACUUCCCUUCACGGGGUUUGUGACUGAAAUGCGUGUGGUCGACGGGAAGCCUGACGAGUACGGCCUGAAUCAUUCCAUCAACACCGGACGGAGUGAAACCUUUGUUGAAAACAGAUUAUAUGAGGAGUGUCCGCCUGAGUGUUUUGUCUGAUCUGUUGUUGAUCGUCUCAUUGACACUGCAUGCAGAUCUGACACCAGGGCUGGACUGGGACAAAAAAUGGUCCCGGGCAUUUUGACUGGAGACCGGCC